This 453-nucleotide ribosomal RNA is filed under the name uncultured Kaistia sp. RNAcentral describes it as "partial 16S ribosomal RNA". The record is from RNAcentral. Lineage: Bacteria; Pseudomonadati; Pseudomonadota; Alphaproteobacteria; Hyphomicrobiales; Kaistiaceae.
CACGAAGUUAGCCGGGGCUUCUUCUCCGACUACCGUCAUUAUCUUCAUCGGCGAAAGUGCUUUACAACCCUAAGGCCUUCAUCACACACGCGGCAUGGCUGGAUCAGGCUUCCGCCCAUUGUCCAAUAUUCCCCACUGCUGCCUCCCGUAGGAGUCUGGGCCGUGUCUCAGUCCCAGUGUGGCUGGUCAUCCUCUCAGACCAGCUAAGGAUCGUCGCCUUGGUGAGCCAUUACCUCACCAACUAGCUAAUCCUACGCGGGCCCAUCUCAAGGCGAUAAAUCUUUCCCCCUGAGGGCUCAUACGGUAUUAGCCAAAGUUUCCCUUGGUUGUUCCGUACCUCGAGGUAGGUUCCCACGCGUUACUCACCCGUCUGCCACUCCCCUUGCGGGGCGUUCGACCUUGCAUGUGUUAGGCCUGCCGCCAGCGUCGUUCUGUAGCCACGGAGUCAACUAC